RNAcentral lists this long non-coding RNA (399 nucleotides) under Homo sapiens (human). Its description in RNAcentral is "HSALNT0362032". The record is from RNAcentral. Lineage: Eukaryota; Metazoa; Chordata; Mammalia; Primates; Hominidae.
AUUGCACUGGCUAAGGCCUCCAGGAUAAAGUUGAAUAAGAACAAUGGGAGCAAAUAUUUUUGCUACCUACCUAAUCUCUGUGAGUAAGACCAUUUAAAGGGACCAAAAAUGGAUGAACAUACUUGGCACUAUGAACUAAAAGAUCUUUGGCUAAAGAAGAGAUGAAGACUCAUUCAACUCCUACAAGUGAAUUAAGGAGCUCUGAGAAGGCAAAGCCAGCCCAGGAGGGUGGACACACUAAGAACAAUGUGCCUUGUCCUGAUACACAGUUGUGGUAUAGGUAACAAAAUCUGAGUAUCCAACCUAAGAUGUUACCCCUCACCUCACCAGAAUACCUCCAAUCCCUUCCCUGGAAACACAGAAUAAAUUCCUAUAGAAAGUUAUAAAGCAGAAAAACAA